GAUGAAGAACGCAGCGAAAUGCGAUAAGUAGUGUGAAUUGCAGAAUUCAGUGAAUCAUCGAAUCUUUGAACGCACAUUGCGCCCUUUGGUAUUCCUUAGGGCAUGCCUGUUCGAGCGUCAUUUGAACCCUCAAGCUCAGCUUGGUGUUGGGUGUCUGUCCCCGCCUCCGCGGGGACUCGCCUCAAAAUCAUUGGCGGCCGGUACGUUGGCUUCGAGCGCAGCAGAAACGCGAACUCGAGGCCCGGCGGAUCGGCGACCAGAAGUCUCUUCUUCACAGUUUGACCUCGGAUCAGGUAGGGAUACCCACUGAACUUAAGCAUAUCAAUAAGCGGAGGA
Molecule: unclassified non-coding RNA, 336 nt
Filed under: soil metagenome
Description: partial contains 5.8S ribosomal RNA, internal transcribed spacer 2, and large subunit ribosomal RNA
Rfam family: 5.8S ribosomal RNA (bases 1-120)
Source: RNAcentral